CCUGGACGCAGGCGCCGCGUACCUUCGGCCCGACGAGAGAGGGGGCACGGGGCCGCAGGCGCGGGACUACAGCUCCCAAGGCGCACCGCGCGGCCGUCCCAGGGCAUGGCGGGAGGCGGGCGGCGCUGGUGGUGCUCUACACCAUCGUCCGUGUCGUGGGCCCGCAUACAGUGAAAUGCUCUGUUUUCCUGCUUGAAUAAAGACUUUGCGCCCCUUUGAAACAAAA
Long non-coding RNA from Tympanuchus pallidicinctus (lesser prairie-chicken), 226 nucleotides. RefSeq lists it as uncharacterized. The transcript is spliced from 2 exons. Lineage: Eukaryota; Metazoa; Chordata; Aves; Galliformes; Phasianidae. The record is from RefSeq and is a predicted model, not a curated record.